Molecule: ribosomal RNA, 506 nt
Filed under: uncultured bacterium
Lineage: Bacteria
Description: partial 16S ribosomal RNA
Rfam family: Bacterial small subunit ribosomal RNA
Source: RNAcentral
AGUGAACGCUGGCGGUAGGCCUAACACAUGCAAGUCGAACGGCAGCACAGGAGAGCUUGCUCUCUGGGUGGCGAGUGGCGGACGGGUGAGGAAUACAUCGGAAUCUACUCUGUCGUGGGGGAUAACGUAGGGAAACUUACGCUAAUACCGCAUACGACCUACGGGUGAAAGCAGGGGAUCUUCGGACCUUGCGCGAUUGAAUGAGCCGAUGUCGGAUUAGCUAGUUGGCGGGGUAAAGGCCCACCAAGGCGACGAUCCGUAGCUGGUCUGAGAGGAUGAUCGGCCACACUGGAACUGAGACACGGUCCAGACUCCUACGGGAGGCAGCAGUGGGGAAUAUUGGACAAUGGGCGCAAGCCUGAUUCAGCCAUACCGCGUGGGUGAAGAAGGCCUUCGGGUUGUAAAGCCCUUUUGUUGGGAAAGAAAUCCAGCUGGCUAAUACCCGGUUGGGAUGACGGUACCCAAAGAAUAAGCACCGGCUAACUUCGUGCCAGCCGCCGCCGUAA